GCUGGCACCCUGCUUACCAAUCACAAUUCACCUCCCUUAUAUCUCACUCUCACAGAUACAUGCUCUUUUAUUUUAGAGGAUCAAUGGCUCCUUGACUGGUCUGAAAUUAGAGGUUGCUAAUAGUCUCAAAUUGCCCAUUAAGUGUCCAGUGAGAACUUUAGUCCUCGUAAGGGCACACAGAUCUUUAACAUCCAGAGUACAUUUUGGGAACCCAAUACAAUUAUUUUAUACAUCUUUUGUAAUAAGAUUAUAUCCCAAAAUGUAUAUAUUAAUCAAUGUUCUUAUCUACUGAGAGCAAUGAUAUAAUACUUGGUCCCCCCCAAAUUUGGUGAAAUACACUGAACACCAGAUCACAUCAACUUGGGUAACUUUAUGUAAAAGAGUUAUUGACUUGUAAAUGUGACCCUUUAAAGGCUUCAUACAGAUCCCAACCUCUUUAGCCUAAGGUCUAGAUUGUGUUUCAGAAUUAAAAAUUUUCCAAAUUUUAAAAAGAAAUACAGUUUAGCAUUCAGUAAUGAAAUAUAUUAAUAUUUUUGUAGCAAAGUAUAUGAAUGAUUACAUUAAGCAAAGUACAUAAAUAGCUUUACAUUUGUUCAGGGCAUAGAAUUUACGCCUAAUUUAUGAAAAAUAUUUCAGUUUUCAGAGGUUUGGAGAUUUUGGAAUUGUGGAUAUGAGAUUGUGGCCCUGUAACAUUAGCACUCAGUAUUUUCCUCUAUUCAUAUGUACAGAUAAUUCAUUUCUGAAAAUUGAAAAUUGUUCUUUUUCCUUAGUAUUUUUGGAUCAUUCUUUGUCCUUAGAUUCUAACCUUUUUAUUUACAAGUGAACAUAUCUCUAAAUUAUUGUUUAUCAGGAGACGACGAUUUCAGGGAAUGAAUGCCAGCUGCUGUGAGGAUAAUAAAUGAUAUGACAUCAGUGAUUUUCCAUAUAAGAAAAGGCAAAGCAAUAUUCUGGUAAAAGGCAUGCUUUGUGACUUUCCUUCUAAGUUCUGGUACUAAUUACAGUUGGAUUUGGCAAAUGUUUACAAGAGUGAUGACAAUUUUCCAGUAUACAUUAUUUAUGAAACAGUUUAUUUAUAAAAACAGUCAUAAGAAAGCAGAAAGCAACUUCCAUUAGCUAUGUGAGAUUUUGAAAGUUCUCGAAAUCAGCUUAUGUAAGAGACUAUUUCCAAUAAUAACAGAAGGCUACAAAAAUGUCAGACCAAAAUAGUAGGCAGAAGGUAGAAAACUAAACCCUGAGAAUAAUAGUCAUUAAGAAGACCUUGAUGUAGACAUUGCAUAUGAGCAUGGAGAUUCAGGAAGGAAAUUCUGGAUGACUGGUGGCUGACAACUUUCAAAUAUAAUAAAUAGAGAUAGGACUUCAAAAGAACUUCAACAGGAAUAUAUGAUUUUAUAGUAGCACCUGGCCUUACUUAGAAUAAAAUCGUUUGUUACAACUAAAGCCAGCAUACAUGAUUCGCAAUAGGAGUAAACUUGCUAUAGACAUUCCUGUCCUCAAAUGAUUUUAAAACCAAAUUUUUCUAAGAACCUCAUAGAAACCUCCAGAGAACAACUUGUAUUAGUUUCUGUUUAUAUCUCAUAUUUUAGAGGCUCCAACACCUGAAAAGUCUCAGGGUAUUGUAAAAACUAUGAACCUUCAAGUGGUCUCUGGAAGAUUGUUUUGAAAUUGAUUGUAUCACUUUGAUCAGGCUACUGUCAGUUUUAAAAUACAGGAAAUCACCCAAUGGGCCACAGGCUGAGCUGAUGUCUGCCUGACCUAUGGCUUCAGUUUCCUAACUGACAACAUCUAUACAGAGGCAGAUCUCAUAAAAGGUCUUCUCUUGAUUGGAACCUGACAGAGGAAUGCAUUCCUGGUCCCUGAUGAAACCCUAGAAUCCCUCUUUCCCCUUUCCAAUGAAGGCUCCACCUCAGGAAAACAUUGAAAUGAGUGAGAGGUAUGCCUACAUCUUCAGCCAGAAGACCAAAAGCAUCUUCCCAUAGGAAAUAAAAAGCUAUUAAUAGGCACUAACUGUAUUUUAAGCAGUAUAAUUAUACCCUAUUUUAGGUACCUUGUUGUUUAAAAGGCUCUUGGGAUUUUAUCUGUAAAUUAACCAUCUACAAUGUUUUUUCCGUAUUUCCUCUGAGUCCUAACCAAUGUAUUAAAAACUACUUUUUUCUUAAAAAAAUUCCGACUGGAGCCUGACCAUUUAAAGCAUUUCCCUAGAAUAUAAGAUCUCCUAGUAAAAUAAAUAUAUCUCAAAUGACUCCCCUUGAAAAUACUUGAAUUUCUAAGAGAAUGAAAAUGCUUUUACAAAAUCCAAAAAGUUUUACAAAAGCAUUUGGUUCUGAAUUAAAUAUUUCACUUCCUUAAACUCUCUCUAGGUCAAACUCUAGCCCUCUAUCACAAAUGUAUAUACAAACAUACAAUAAUGCUCAUCAUGUCAGCUCUUCCAAGCCUAGUAAAAUGCUCAUGUCCCUUAUGGAAAAACAAGUCAUUCUUGCUUGGAGAGAUACCUCUUCAAAAUCCCUCUUCCAACCUUGAAAGAAUACUUGCAACUCCAAGGAGGGUAUCUAGCUUUCUUUACCUUUGGAGGGUCCAGCCAUCUCAAAGGCCUUAGUUUCAGAGUAGCCUUGAUCUAAAGCAGUUUCACACAGAGAUAAGUUUCCUUGCUCAAUAGCACAGGAACUUGCUGACUUCAUUGCAAAUACAGCAGAAGGGCCAGGCAUGGGUCUUCUUCCUGACUUGCCAGCUGAUUGGUUAGCAUACUUUGAUGUCACUUGAUUCAUCUUUCCAGCCCCUCUCCACUUCUUGAGAGCUUUAGUCCUCUCCUCUGGAGUUAGUCUGUCAAAGUGCUUAGCUCUCAGAAUUGGAGAUGGAAACAGGGAUCCCUGAAGAACUCUGUAUACAAACCUAGGUGACAAGGAACAUCAUUAGAAUUAAAUUCAUCUCAAAUGCAUUACAGAACCCCCCCCCCCAAAUACUAACGAAUUAAAAAAGUAAAAGGGUCUGGUGGCCACUUGGCUCCUGAAAUAAAGGGGGAGGGUAACCGAACUCUAAUACAAAAUGGAGAUAAAACAAUAUUAAAUAAAUUAAUAUUUGUAAAGCAAUUAGAAAAUAGUAAUUGCCAUAUAAGUGUUUAUUAAAAAGCAAAACUAAAUAGCAUCUAUAAAAGUAGAGAUAUAAAUAGUUGCUACAUAGGCUUAAUGUUAGGUUAAAUGAGACAAUACAUACAAAGCAGGCAGAGUGUUGACACAUAGUAGGUGUUAAAAAUGCUAUUUGUACCAGUUUCCUAUGGCUAUUGUAACAAAGUACCACAAACGUGUCCCUUUGUAGGCUAAGCUGGCAGUGUUUCUUCUGGUAUAACAUUCUCAAAAGUCUUGUGACUCUCCUAUGUAUGUCACUUGGAUUUAUGCCACUAAAUAGGAGGGGCCACCACAGAUCUUUCCUGUAUAACCUCAUUUCUUUUCCUGGUUACUACUGCAAUGGUUGAGGAGAUCUAGGAAUCACAUAACUAAUCUCUUCAGCACUAGCAGAAAGGUUGUCCAGCUAUGCUCUCAGACUUCUCUCCAGAGCAUACUACUAACAGUCAAUCUCCUAAUUUUAGCAACUUUUGCAAUCUGGAUAGACUGAGAAUUUCCUAAACCAAGUUCCUUGUGGCUUAGCAGUUUUCCCUUCAGUCUCUUUCCUCUCACAUUUUACUAUAAGCAGUAAAUCAGGACACAACUUUGACACUUUGCUUAGAAACCUCCUCUGCCAAAUAUCCAAGUUCAUUCCUUACAAAUUCUGCUUUCCAUAUUACUGUAGAACACAAUUUAGCUAAUUUUUCUGCCAGUAUUUGAAAGAUCCACUUCCCUCAAAUUCCCAAGCAUGUUCCUCAUUUUCUUCCGAGUCCUCAUCAGUGUACUUGAAAAUUCAUAUUUCUAGCAACUUUCUGUGUAUGAUGAUAUAUGUAUUCUCUGCAUCUGAUGAUACAGGCUUUCUCUGACUUCUUCAUUUUCUUCUGAAACCUCACCAACAGUAACUUAAUUUUUCAGGAAUGCAAGAUUGUUUUCAUAUUAUAAAAGCAAUUAAUGUAAUUUACUACACUAACAGUGUGACAAAGAAAAUCUUAUCUCAAUGGAUACACAAAUUUAUAUAUGUUUUAAAUGUGAAAAUAAGGAAUAGAAUGGAACUUCUUUAAUCUGGUUAAUGGUAUAGUCAUAAAAUUCUAUAUAAAACAUCAUAAUUAACAGAGAAAUAUGGAAACCUUUCCUUCUGGGAUCAGAAACAAGACAAGCUUCCCUAGCCAGGUCAAUGAGAAAAAUUAAGUGCCUAUGUAUUGGAAAGAAAGAAACACACUGGUCAUUAUUUGCUAAUGGCAUUACUGUAUAUGUAGAAAACCUAAAAUAAAAUAUUGGAACUAAUAAGUAAAUGUAGCUAUCAAGAUCACUGGUUACAACUUAAAUGUCCAUAUUUCUACCAAGAGCCUGUGUAAGGAAGUCUAGGAGAAUUUUUCUAUUAUGUGCCAAAAUUCAUCCUGCCUCUGCCCAUUAUCCAGUUUCAAAGCCACUUCCACAGUUUUAGGCAUUUGUUAUAGCAGAAACCUAUUCUGAGUACCCAAAUCUGUAUUAGUUUCCUAUGACUGCUAUACCACGUUAUUACAAACUUGGUAGCUUAGAAUUACAAAAAUUAUUCUCUCAAUGUUUUCAAGGCAAAAAAUUAUGAAAUUAGCUUCACUGGGCCAAAAUCAAGGUAUUGGAAAGGGCAUGCUCCCUCUGGACCCUCUAGUAGAGAAUCUAUUCCUUGCCUCUUCCAGCUUCUGGUGGCUUCUGACAUUUCUUGGCUUGUGGCUAAGGAAUCCAUGAUCCCAUAGUCAUAGUACCUUCUCCUCUUCUGUGUCAAAUCUCCCUCUGCCUCUUUCUUAUAAGGACACUUGUGGUUACAUUUAGGAUCCACCUGGAUAACUAAUCUCUUUGUCUCAAGAUCCAUAAUGUAAUCACUCAUGCAAAGUUCUUUUCUUGCCACAUAAGAUAAAAUUUACAGGUUACAGGGAUUAGGACAUGGAAAUCUUUUAGGGAGUCAUUUUUUAGCAUACCACGAUAAUAUUAGAACUAUACUGUUAAAGGCCCAGAAUUUUUAAAGCUAAAACCUUUAAGUAAUUGUUUUUUCAGAAAUUCUGUAAGUUCAUCUUGUCAGUUUUUAAUCUGGAAGCUGGCAAUAGCAGUGAGCACUAUAGAAGUAUCUUC
RNAcentral lists this long non-coding RNA (5201 nucleotides) under Homo sapiens (human). RNAcentral's name for it is "HSALNT0071980". The record is from RNAcentral. Lineage: Eukaryota; Metazoa; Chordata; Mammalia; Primates; Hominidae.